RNAcentral lists this ribosomal RNA (437 nucleotides) under Candidatus Wildermuthbacteria bacterium RIFCSPLOWO2_01_FULL_50_46. Its description in RNAcentral is "bacterial LSU rRNA". It matches the Rfam family "Bacterial large subunit ribosomal RNA", at positions 2457 to 2911 of the family's 2925-position model. The record is from RNAcentral. Lineage: Bacteria; Candidatus Wildermuthiibacteriota.
CAAAAGUUACCCCGGGGAUAACAGGCUGGUAGGGCCCGCGAGUCCAUAUCUACGGCCCUGUUCGGCACCUCGAUGUCGGCUCAUCUUAUCCUGGGGCUGAAGAAGGUCCCAAGGGUCUGGCUGUUCGCCAGUUAAAAAGGUACGUGAGCUGGGUUCAAACCGUCGUGAGACAGGUUGGUCCCUUUCUACCGCAGGCGUCGAGUCUUGAGGAGAUUUAUCUCUAGUACGAGAGGACCGAGAUGAACGAACCUCUGGUGUACCAGUUGUCGUGCCAACGGCAUCGCUGGGUAGCUAUGUUCGGCUAGGAUAAGCGCUGAAAGCAUCUAAGCGCGAAGCCAACUCCAAGAUGAGGACUCAAAGAUCCCUCCGAGAUGAGGAGGUUGAUAGGCUCCAGAUGUAAGUCCCGCAAGGGAUUCAGUCGAGGAGUACUAAUGAUC